UUCUCAUCUAGCAUCUGUUGUGGUAAGUCUAUCUUUUCAGCUCUGUUCUGCCAGUCCCUGCUUUUCAGUGCUUCUGUAAGUUCCUUUAAUCCUAGGUUUGUUCCACCUCUGAAGUCCUCUGGUGUAUAACGUCCCAUGUCUCAGGAGAAUGCUCCCAAAUGCCUGUGCCCUGUGCUUGGUGGCCUCUUACUGAUUGCUGGAGCAAGACCUUCCCCAUAGAUCCUGGGUGACUGAGACAUGAUUUCCACUGUGGUUCCAGUCUAUGAAACAGGAAACAAGCUGUAUCAAGGAGUCAGCAUCUCCAAAAAGGAAAGGAGAGGAAGUAAGAUUGGGUAAAAAGAAAAGUCCAAUAAUCAAGUAAGUCUACUAAAACCUUCAUUGAUCAGCCAGGGGCUUUGACACAGAAUUGACCACUGAAAUGUCUGCAACUGGGUCCCAAAGGCUGGGUCUUUCAACCUCACCUUUCAAUGCCAGACAAAGGGUGCAUUGGUGAGACACAAUCUGAGGAAUGGAGGGAGCUCUCUGCAGGUGAGGUGGACACAGAAGGAGCCUUUCAGGAGCAGGCUGUCCACUAGAUUCCUGUGGCUGAGUGGCAUGCUCUUCCUUGAUGCGAUAUCUAUGCAGUGUAUCCCUGUGACCGCUCAUAUACACUCCAGCUGCAGACUUUGAGAAGGCAUGUUUAGUAUAAUAAAAAAUACUGAACUCAAACAGGAGUGGCACGUGCAUACACAUUUGAAGAUCAUCAAUGUUCUGGUAGAUAGAGCAAGGUUACUCUGAGAAGACCAUUUUAUGUGAGAUUAAACAAAGACCGAAUUCAUUUAAAUCCUCCUCCAUUGAGGAUAACGACCUUUACACGAAUGUUCGCUGAAAGAUCUGUGAAAGGCUAGGUCAGCAGCAAGGAGCACUUAUAGAACCAAAAGACAAUACUGAACUAUGAUUUUCAGCUAAAAGAAACCAAGACACCUUAAAGAGAAGCAUGAUUCAAGGUCCGGGAACAAAUGGAUCUGAGUAAUCCAAAAUAUUUGUCCCACAGCAUAGCAAGGGGUGGAACAAAGGACGCUAAAACCAUGUCAAAAGACUCAAGAACAAGUUCAAAGAUGCUCCUUUUGAUUAAAAAAAGAAUAAUUGAAACAUCAGUAAGAGUAGGAAAAUAGAAUACAUUUACAUUUUUGACUUAACAAUGAGUCCUUAAAAGUUGAUCAGUUACCUUUGAGUGAUGACAGGAAAUCAGUCGAUUUCCUCAGAGAUUAACGAGGAGGCUGAAAGAGUGGUACUCAGUUUGCUCUCCUAAAUGAACUGGGCCCCUGGGUGGCCACGUGGUAAAUAAGGGAGACAACUCAACAGACCCGGUUAAUAAAGGGAAGCAAAAUCUCAGCAUUAGAGGACCAGCACAUGACGACUGCAAUAAAUCAGCGGGUCUGCUCAAUAGAAAUAUCACAAACAAGAGACAUGGCCAAGCAUUACGUGCCCCUCAGCAAACAAACACCACACCAUCUGUAGUCUUGCCAAAAAGAUCAAACCUAAGUCUGAUUGAGCCCUCAGAACCCGCUGCCAUUUUUAAAGAAAUCCAGGGGACAGAGGAAUGUAUUGAACUCCACCAUGAGCAUGCAAUUAGCAAAAUCCAGAUGGUAGGAAACGCUGAGGCCAGACUCGGGUAUUCAACAGAGAAAUUAGGAGAAGAAAAACAUAGGAAACCUGUAGAGGAAGAAAAAGAUUGAAGGCUUAAAAGACAGUUUUUAAGUGAGUGAGGAUCGGCCCCAUAGUGUCUAAGGACUAAGACAUGGCUGAUACCUGUCCUUACAUAAUCAUGUGCUUAUCACAAAAAUCAGAAAACACCUAUUGAAGGAAGAGGGUGCUGAGAUCAGUCCAGCAGUGGAUGGCUCCUGGGCAGCUGGCAAAAUCCUACAGUUUGAUUUCCAUAAAUGUUUGCAAUAAUGUUGAUAUUUUUAG
This 1950-nucleotide small RNA is filed under the name Rattus norvegicus (Norway rat). RNAcentral's name for it is "uncharacterized LOC102549793". The record is from RNAcentral. Lineage: Eukaryota; Metazoa; Chordata; Mammalia; Rodentia; Muridae.